This 480-nucleotide ribosomal RNA is filed under the name uncultured bacterium. Its description in RNAcentral is "partial 16S ribosomal RNA". It matches the Rfam family "Bacterial small subunit ribosomal RNA", at positions 28 to 507 of the family's 1533-position model. The record is from RNAcentral.
GAUGAACGCUAGCGGCAGGCCUAACACAUGCAAGUCGAGGGGUAGAAGGAGCUUGCUCCUUUGAGACCGGCGCACGGGUGCGUAACGCGUAUGCAAUCUACCUUGUACAGGGGAAUAGCCCAGAGAAAUUUGGAUUAAUGCCCCAUAGUAUAUAACCUUCGCAUGUUGGUUAUAUUAAAGUUCCAACGGUACAAGAUGAGCAUGCGUCCCAUUAGUUAGUUGGUAAGGUAACGGCUUACCAAGACGAUGAUGGGUAGGGGUCCUGAGAGGGAGAUCCCCCACACUGGGACUGGGACACGGACCAGACUCCUACGGGAGGCAGCAGUGAGGAAUAUUGGUCAAUGGUCGCAAGACUGAACCAGCCAUGCCGCGUGCAGGAAGACGGUCCUAUGGAUUGUAAACUGCUUUUAUACAGGAAGAAACCCUCCCACGUGUGGGAGCUUGACGGUACUGUAGGAAUAAGGAUCGGCUAACUCCGUG